UCAGCAGAGAUGGAAACUCUAAGACAAGUAAAAGAAAAUCACUAGAAACAGAAAGCAGCAUAUCAGAGAUGAUUCCUUCUUAUGGGCUCAUCAGCAGAAGGAGUCAGUGAAAUUGAAGAUAGAUUGGUAGGAAUUACCCAAAUGGAAACACAGGGAAGAAGAAGGGGUGGAAACCAAAGCAGAGCAUCCAAGAACCUUGGUAACGUAAUACCACCACACAUGAUGCCAACUCUCCGGCAGAUCUGUCCCAGGGGGAGGAGCAAAGGGAGUACAAGAAAGAUUUGGUGAGACAACAGCUGAGACCAUCCCCCAAAUAAGGAAAAACAUCACAUCAUACCCCCAAGAAGUUUAGGGAAGCACAGACAGGCCCGAAAAACAGCACAGCAACACCAAACAACCAUACAGACAUUAUCAAAGUCACAUGGCCUAUACCAGAGAAAGAAGUCUGGGGGGGUCCUCCAAACGGGUCAGAGCCGACUUCUUAUCAGAGGCUGGGCAAGCCGGGAGACUUCCUUAAACAGAAUCCUAUACCCAGCAAAAUACCUUCCAAAUAGGAGGUUGAAAUAAAGACUUUUUCAGAAGAAACUGAGUUUAUUGACAGGAAUGUUAAAGAAAACCCAGAACUCGGUCAAAAGAAUGUACCAGAAAGUUUCAGAUUCAUUCAAAGAAGUGAAGGGCUCUGGAAGUGGCAAACAUGGAAGGAUUGUUAUUCUGGGCCACAGAGCAAAUUCAGCUUGGAAUGUUCCUGAAUUCUAUGGUGGGAGUUUCCCAAGCCUCUAGGUCCCAGCGCAAGGCUCCGGAACCAUGGUGCAUGGCUGCGCACUUGUUGACAAGAUGGUACUCACUCACGUCCACAGCUUUUGCCUAAGAGAGAAAACAUACGACCCUUGACCUUCUGAGUUUGACUUAUUUCACUGAACAUAAUGGUGUCUAGUUUCAUCAGUUUUCCUGCAAACACCAUGAUUCCAUUUUUCUUACGGCUGAAUAAAACUCUACGUGUA
Ictidomys tridecemlineatus (thirteen-lined ground squirrel) is the source of this 1001-nucleotide non-coding RNA. Lineage: Eukaryota; Metazoa; Chordata; Mammalia; Rodentia; Sciuridae. The record is from RefSeq and is a predicted model, not a curated record.